AUUGAACGCUGGCGGCAUGCCUAACACAUGCAAGUCGAGCGGCUGUAGGGAGCUUGCUCCUGGAUUCAGCGGCGUACGGGUGAGUAAUGCAUCGGAAUCUGCCUGGUAGUGGGGGAUAGCGCGUGGAAACGGGGCUUAAUACCGCAUACGGCCUGAGGGGGAAAGCGGGGGAUCUUAGGGCCUCACGCUAUUUGAUGAGCCUAUGUCGGAUUAGCUAGUUGGUGGGGUAAAGGCUUACCAAGGCGACGAUCCGUAACUGGUCUGAGAGGAUGAUCAGUCAAACUGGAACUGAGACACGUUCCAGACUCCUACGGGAGGCAGCAGUGGGGAAUGUUGGACAAUGGGCGAAAGCCUGAUACAGCCAUGCCGCGUGUGUGAAGAAGGUCUUCGGAUUGUGAAGCACUUUUAUUGGGGAGGAAGGUCACUAGGCUAAUGCCUCGCUGGCUUGACGGUACCAGAAUAAUAAGCACCGGCUAACUACGUG
Molecule: ribosomal RNA, 484 nt
Filed under: uncultured bacterium
Lineage: Bacteria
Description: partial 16S ribosomal RNA
Rfam family: Bacterial small subunit ribosomal RNA
Source: RNAcentral